CCCUCAGGUGGAGGUGAUUUCCUUCGGCUGCUAUUUGGCUGCACCUGGGCGUCCGCCAGGACAGCAGUGGAAGCUCACACGGGAGAAAACAAGAGCAAGAGAAUGAUUCCCAGAGUCUCUGCUGUGUUUGCCCCAUACAAGAAAGGCAAUGGAAAUCUUUUGAGAGAUGUCAAAAGUAACACAUUAGUACUACCCAGAUGGGGGAAGGGACAAACAGCUGCCUGUUGACCUUCCAAGAAGCCAACCUUGGGCUGGAGAAGAUCGCAGAUUACCCAUCUAUGGUCCCAAAUACAGAGGCUAACACUGGAUAAAAUGGCCACAGCCAACUCAUUGCCUGAGCUAUCCUUACCUCUCUGUGAGAAUGGGUAAGGAGUAAUAAAGGAGUUGAAUAUAAUAAAUUAAGCAAGUAUUAGUGGCUAUAAA
Molecule: long non-coding RNA, 423 nt
Organism: Suricata suricatta (meerkat)
Lineage: Eukaryota; Metazoa; Chordata; Mammalia; Carnivora; Herpestidae
Exons: 3
Source: RefSeq, a predicted model, not a curated record